AUGAUGCAAAGCUCCUCGCAGAGCUCCUGGAGCUUAGUGCAGCAGGGGAUGGAGCUACACGCUGGGUUUGUUCAACCUUUGUUUUCCCAUUUAAUCCAGCCAUUCAUAUGCACAUCCAGCCCUCUGUGUGCCCACUUGUUUGCCCCCUCUUCUAAAGUUUUAUGGCAGGACCCAGCACUGCUGAGUCAGACCAGGACUAGAAAUACUGAAAGGAAUUGGGAAGAAUGUACCCUACUGCAGGCUUAGCGUAACUGUGUGUGCUGGAGAAGUGGACGGUGCAGAACAUGCUUACCCUGAACAGUCUCUUUCUUAUUGCUACUGUUGAAGACAAGAUAAGAUCUCCAAAAUCAUGAAAAAGGCUAAAAACAUGGUGUUUGGUAGCAUUAUGAUUCUUUUCACGUUCUUUUCAGAUCCAGAAGCUUGAGGGAAUGCUCUGACCAUGUCCUCAAACCCAUCUCUGCCUCCUGACAAAUUUUAGUGACGCUGUGCUGUCCUCAUCUAGAUUGUCCGUAGGAAAGCCAAAACUGCUUAAUUGACUCUACCCCAUAUAGAAAAGGGAGAAAAAGAGUUGAAUAUCAUAUGUGAGCAAAAAUGAGGAGAAAAUAGGACUUAACGGAAGUCCUGCUCCCAUAGCUGCACAUCAGUCCCUGAACCAAUGUGGUUAUGCCUAUGUGAGACUGCGUUUGAGCAGUGAUUCUGAUACCCUAAAUAUUCUCAUGCAAAAAGAGUUCUCAUUGUUUUUCAUGAUGUACGCACUACAGUUGGAGAUAUCCAAGUGAUCUCCACGUAAUGCGUCACAACUGAGUUCAGGUGGAACUGGGUUUAACACAACAGGUCUAUUUGAGAGCAUUGCCUCACAGGAAAAAUGACUUUAAAUAUUUGUUCAGCACUUGCUGUGCUACCGCUGUGCUGUAACACUGCUCCUGUAAGCCCUGAGCCUCGGUUAGCAUCCCUCUGAAGCAGAGGACUGGAUGUGAUGUGCAGGGCCUCACUGCUGUCUCACAGCCCCUGUGAAGGCAGAUGUGUACAUGUGUGCCAUUGCUUCACCAAAGGCUCAUUACGUGACACUGUGUGACAGCUGAGUAAUACUUUCAACAGAAACAGAACUCUGUCUUCAGCCUGCUGACUGCUGUUCAGAACAUGCUUUAUCCUUGUCAGGAAGCUGUCAAAGGCUGGCAGCAGUGCUGAAAGAAAGUUCCAGUGCCAUUUCUCCAGACUCUGAUCUCCAUAAUGGGAAAUAGUAAUACAGAGUAGGAAUGCAUGUGAAGGAUGUUAUAAAGGCGUAGGGGAUUUUACCUUGACCAAACUGUUUAGAAAACACAGACAGAGUUGUCAGCUAGAGUGACUCAGUAUGGUUUAUAUUGACUUCAGCUUCAACAAGAUGUCCUUUCCUGGGGGUGCAGCGUAAAUAUUGACAAGUCUGCUGUUACUCAUUGGAAAUAAUGAGCCAAAGAGAAAGAGAGAGAGCCUGUGGGCACACAAGGCCAAGGCCUCCCGAAUGAAGCUCUGUGUCUUAAAACCAUGACACUCUGAACAGGGGACAGAGACGUCACCAUCCCAGGGCAGGACCAGGCCCAUAGCAGCCAUGGCCCUGCACAGCCGGGAGGUCACCUCACCAGCCCAUGGCACUGGGGCAGGCUGGGGUCAAGGCAGGGAUGGAACUGGGCAAGGUGAGGGCUGCACCAUGGUGGCACAAGCUCACAGCAGUGCAUCUCACUCCAGCAGUGGGCCUCAGCUCAGUCAGCCAUGCUCUGCAGGGCAAAGUGCCCCAUGCCAUGGCAAGAGAGCCUGACUUUUCCAUCUCCAUAAAGCAAUGUUAUUGCUGCCAUCUUCUCCUAAUAUCCUUGGAUGGCUAGUAGUCCAAAGAGAACUAUAUCUCAUUAGUGUGAAUUAGAAUUUUUCUGAAUCUUCAGCAGGGUAAUUUCUGAAUGACUUUGGGAUAAAAGGAGUAAGAAAGAGUAUUUUAAUUUCCAGACUAAAACAGGGAUUAGGAGAUGACAAAUUUAGAUAAGCCUCUCAGAAGAGCUCUUAGUAAACUGCUCACUCCUCUUUGCAGGGAAUGUGAAAACCCAGAGGGUUAUCCCCGUAGAUUAGAGAAGUCCAUUUGGAGAAGCUGGUCUGUGCUCAGCAGAAGAAUUAGAAAAUAAAUGUUACUACUACUGUUGUUCCCA
Molecule: long non-coding RNA, 2171 nt
Filed under: Numida meleagris (helmeted guineafowl)
Lineage: Eukaryota; Metazoa; Chordata; Aves; Galliformes; Numididae
Description: lncRNA (ENSNMEG00000017542.1)
Source: RNAcentral